UGCUAUUAACACUGCUGGUGAUACAC
Molecule: non-coding RNA, 26 nt
Filed under: Homo sapiens (human)
Lineage: Eukaryota; Metazoa; Chordata; Mammalia; Primates; Hominidae
Source: RNAcentral